RNAcentral lists this transfer RNA (72 nucleotides) under Nocardia donostiensis. It matches the Rfam family "tRNA". Rfam says of the family: Transfer RNA (tRNA) molecules are approximately 80 nucleotides in length. Their secondary structure includes four short double-helical elements and three loops (D, anti-codon, and T loops). Lineage: Bacteria; Bacillati; Actinomycetota; Actinomycetes; Mycobacteriales; Nocardiaceae. The record is from Rfam by way of RNAcentral.
CAAACGAUAGCUCAUCUGGUAGAGCAUCGGAUUUCCACUCCGAGGGUAGUGGGUUCGAAUCCCACUCGUUGA